UACAGAGGGUGCGAGCGUUGUUCGGAAUUACUGGGCGUAAAGCGCGCGCAGGCGGCCCUUUAAGUCUACCCGUGAAAUGCCGGAGCUCAACUCCGUGCACGCCGGGGGAUACUGGAGGGCUGGAGACGAGUAGAGGCAAGCGGAAUUCCGGGUGUAGCGGUGGAAUGCGUAGAUAUCAGGAGGAACACCGGUGGCGAAGGCGGGUCUCUGGGCCGAUAUUGACGCUGAGGAGCGAAAGCGUGGGGAGCGAACAGG
RNAcentral lists this ribosomal RNA (255 nucleotides) under uncultured bacterium. Its description in RNAcentral is "partial 16S ribosomal RNA". It matches the Rfam family "Bacterial small subunit ribosomal RNA", at positions 524 to 776 of the family's 1533-position model. The record is from RNAcentral.